Non-coding RNA from Salmo salar (Atlantic salmon), 54 nucleotides. Lineage: Eukaryota; Metazoa; Chordata; Actinopteri; Salmoniformes; Salmonidae. The record is from Rfam.
UGCAUUCACAACUGUAAGUCGCUCUGGAUAAGAGCAUCUGCUAAAUGAGUAAAA